AAUGAUUUGAGCUUUUAAAUGUUUAUAAAGAGAACUAACAUUUUGUUUUCAACGUGUUGCAGAGUUUGAAUGAUCCUAACGCGGCUUACGACCCAAUUUUUCCUGAAGGAGGUUUAAACGAUAGUGUUUGCUUGAAAAGUUAUGAAAGCUUGGAUUCGAAUAUUCUUCUAUCUGUAGUUGUUUGCGAUUAACCUUUGGAAGUAAGCAUUCAUAAAAUAUCACAAAUAAAGAAGCUCUAAAGGAAUAGAGAAAUGAAACAAUUAUUGAUAUCACAAAUCAGAAUCAGGCAGAACGCAAUAAACAGAGAAAGAGAUUAACUGUGAAUCUAACAAUCUUUUGAGAGAAUGAUAGUGAUGGCAAAUUGGUCAUAAAUCACUUCAAAAUAAAUUAUAAUUUGAACAAACCAAUGA
Molecule: long non-coding RNA, 410 nt
Organism: Belonocnema kinseyi
Lineage: Eukaryota; Metazoa; Arthropoda; Insecta; Hymenoptera; Cynipidae
Exons: 4
Source: RefSeq, a predicted model, not a curated record